GCCCGGUUAGCUCAAUCGGUAGAGCGUGAGACUCUUAAUCUCAAGGUUGCGGGUAAGUUAUCAGUCACCGGUUC
Molecule: non-coding RNA, 74 nt
Organism: Xylariomycetidae sp. FL0641
Lineage: Eukaryota; Fungi; Ascomycota; Sordariomycetes
Source: the annotation of a GenBank genome assembly